This is a small nuclear RNA of Marmota flaviventris (yellow-bellied marmot), 107 nucleotides long. The record is from RefSeq and is a predicted model, not a curated record. Lineage: Eukaryota; Metazoa; Chordata; Mammalia; Rodentia; Sciuridae.
GUGCUCACUUCGGCAGCAUGUAUACUAAAAUUGGAACAAUAUAAAGAAAAUUAGCAUGGCUCUUGCGCAAGAAUGACAUGCAAAUUCAUGAAUCGUUCCAUAUUUUU